Molecule: ribosomal RNA, 784 nt
Filed under: Gigaspora rosea
Lineage: Eukaryota; Fungi; Glomeromycota; Glomeromycetes; Diversisporales; Gigasporaceae
Description: eukaryotic LSU rRNA
Rfam family: Eukaryotic large subunit ribosomal RNA
Source: RNAcentral
GACCUCAAGUCAUGUGAGAGUACCCGCUGAACUUAAGCAUAUCAAUAAGCGGAGGAAAAGAAACUAACAAGGAUUCCCCUAGUAACGGCGAGUGAAGCGGGAAGAGCACAAAUUUUAAAUCUACCUGGUUUUCAGGUUGAGUUGUAAUUUGAGGAUACGUUUUUGAUAUUCCUGGUUGGACUAAAUCCUUUGGGAUAAGGUAUCAUAGAGGGUGAGAAUCCUGUGUAUACCAACCACAGGGAUGUUAUUUAAUAACGUUUUUAAGAGUCGAGUUGUUUGGGAAUGCAGCUCUAAAUGGGUGGUAAAUUUCACCUAAUGCUAAAUAUAAGCGAGAGACCGAUAGCGAACAAGUACAGUGAUGGAAAGAUGAAAAGAACUUUGAAAAGAGAGUUAAAUAGUACGUGAAAUUGUUGAAAGGGAAACGAUUGAAGUCAGUCAUGCCAGUGGGAAUCAACUUAGAGGAAACUCUAGGUGCACUUCUUCGCUUGGCAGGUUAGUGUCGAUUUUGGAUGUCAUAAAAUGACUGGGGGAAGGUAGCUCCUUUGGGAGUGUUAUAGCCCUUGGUAGAUGUGAUGUCUGGAAUCGAGGAUUGCAACGGAUACCCUUUAGGGCUAGUCACCUGAUCUCUAAUUAGUGCUAGAUUACGGACAGCAUGCUGACCGUGAUUUAAUUAUUGGUUAAAAGGUUAGAGUGCACAUAAAUUCGUUAAGGACACUGACGUAAUGGCUUUAAACGACCCGUCUUGAAACACGGACCAAGGAGUCUAACAUAUAUGCGAGUGUUA